GUUAAAAAGCUCGUAGUUGGAUUUCUGGCGGGGACCCAAGUACCCCUGGUGGGUGUGCUCGGGCCCGGCCAUCCUUCUGUAAACUUUCGCGCGUCCUUCACCGGUCGGCAAAGGGAUCAGAUAAUUUACCUUGAGAAAAUUAGAGUGUUUCAGGCAGGCUUAGCCGGAAUACAUUAGCAUGGAAUAAUGGAAUAGGACUGAGGUCUCGUUGUUGGUUACGCGGACUACAGUAAUGAUUAAUAGGGACAGUUGGGGGCAUUAGUAUUUAUUAGCUAGAGGUGGAAUUCUCUAAUUUGAUAAAGACUAACUUAUGCGAAAGCAUUUGCCAAGGAUGUUUUCAUUAAUCAAGAACGAAAGUUAGGGGAUCAAAGACGAUCAGAUACCGUCCUAGUCUUAACCAUAAACUAUGCCGACUCGGGAUCGGGAGCGUGUGUUAUCCGCUUUCGGCACCGUAUGAGAAAUCAAAGUCUUUGGGUUCUGGGGGGA
RNAcentral lists this ribosomal RNA (486 nucleotides) under uncultured marine eukaryote. RNAcentral's name for it is "SSU rRNA". It matches the Rfam family "Eukaryotic small subunit ribosomal RNA", at positions 618 to 1122 of the family's 1831-position model. The record is from RNAcentral.